GUAUUGGUUUGCAGGAUAGGAAUGAACCACAGCACUCUGCUAAGCUUUUACUGUUUAGAGGCUUCGAGAGGUUGCAAGACUCGGCUAAAAGAGUUUCUGUGUGUAACCCUGACUGUUCUGGAACCUUCUCUGAAGACCAGGCUGGCCUUGAACUCACAGAGAUCCACCUACUUCUGUCUGCCAAGUGCUGGGAUUGAAGGCGUGUGCCACCACUAACAGGAUCAUGGUAGUAUAUUCUUGUAAGCCCAGCAUUCAGGACACUGACGCAGGACUACCACAGACUGUGUCUGGCCAGAGUUAUACACUGCUAUUGACUCCUUGUUCAGUUGAAGAAUGAAGAAAAUGUUAACUAUGGACACAUAUGAAAAUUUCUUUACAAAUUUGAA
Mastomys coucha (southern multimammate mouse) is the source of this 386-nucleotide long non-coding RNA. RefSeq lists it as uncharacterized. The record is from RefSeq and is a predicted model, not a curated record. NCBI's taxonomy places the organism in Eukaryota, Metazoa, Chordata, Mammalia, Rodentia, Muridae. The transcript is spliced from 2 exons.